Molecule: ribosomal RNA, 253 nt
Filed under: uncultured bacterium
Lineage: Bacteria
Description: partial 16S ribosomal RNA
Rfam family: Bacterial small subunit ribosomal RNA
Source: RNAcentral
UACGUAGGGUGCAAGCGUUAAUCGGAAUUACUGGGCGUAAAGCGUGCGCAGGCGGUUAUGUAAGACAGGGGUGAAAUCCCAGGGCUUAACCUUGGAACUGCAUUUGUGACUGCAUCGCUGGAGUGCGGCAGAGGGGGAUGGAAUUCCGCGUGUAGCAGUGAAAUGCGUAGAUAUGCGGAGGAACACCGAUGGCGAAGGCAAUCCCCUGGGCCUGCACUGACGCUCAUGCACGAAAGCGUGGGGAGCAAACAGG